GACGAACGCUGGCGGCGUGCCUAAUACAUGCAAGUAGAACGCUGAAGAGAGGAGCUUGCUCUUCUUGGAUGAGUUGCGAACGGGUGAGUAACGCGUAGGUAACCUGCCUUGUAGCGGGGGAUAACUAUUGGAAACGAUAGCUAAUACCGCAUAACAAUGGAUGACACAUGUCAUUUAUUUGAAAGGUGCAAUUGCACCACUACCAGAUGGACCUGCGUUGUAUUAGCUAGUUGGUGGGGUAACGGCUCACCAAGGCGACGAUACAUAGCCGACCUGAGAGGGUGAUCGGCCACACUGGGACUGAGACACGGCCCAGACUCCUACGGGAGGCAGCAGUAGGGAAUCUUCGGCAAUGGACGAAAGUCUGACCGAGCAACGCCGCGUGAGUGAAGAAGGUUUUCGGAUCGUAAAGCUCUGUUGUAAGAGAAGAACGAGUGUGAGAGUGGAAAGUUCACACUGUGACGGUAUCUUACCAGAAAGGGACGGCUAACUACGUGCCAGCAGCCGCGGUAAUACGUAGGUCCCGAGCGUUGUCCGGAUUUAUUGGGCGUAAAGCGAGCGCAGGCGGUUAGAUAAGUCUGAAGUUAAAGGCUGUGGCUUAACCAUAGUACGCUUUGGAAACUGUUUAACUUGAGUGCAAGAGGGGAGAGUGGAAUUCCAUGUGUAGCGGUGAAAUGCGUAGAUAUAUGGAGGAACACCGGUGGCGAAAGCGGCUCUCUGGCUUGUAACUGACGCUGAGGCUCGAAAGCGUGGGGAGCAAACAGG
RNAcentral lists this ribosomal RNA (765 nucleotides) under uncultured Streptococcus sp. Its description in RNAcentral is "bacterial SSU rRNA". It matches the Rfam family "Bacterial small subunit ribosomal RNA", at positions 28 to 776 of the family's 1533-position model. The record is from RNAcentral. Lineage: Bacteria; Bacillati; Bacillota; Bacilli; Lactobacillales; Streptococcaceae.